RNAcentral lists this ribosomal RNA (528 nucleotides) under uncultured marine bacterium. Its description in RNAcentral is "bacterial SSU rRNA". It matches the Rfam family "Bacterial small subunit ribosomal RNA", at positions 15 to 526 of the family's 1533-position model. The record is from RNAcentral.
GAUCAUGGCUCAGAUGAACGCUGGCGGCGUGCCUAAUACAUGCAAGUCGAGCGAACUGAUUAGAAGCUUGCUUCUAUGACGUUAGCGGCGGACGGUGAGUAACACGUGGGCAACCUGCCUGUAAGACUGGGAUAACUUCGGGAAACCGAAGCUAAUACCGGAUAGGAUCUUCUCCUUCAUGGGAGAUGAUUGAAAGAUGGUUUCGGCUAUCACUUACAGAUGGGCCCGCGGUGCAUUAGCUAGUUGGUGAGGUAACGGCUCACCAAGGCAACGAUGCAUAGCCGACCUGAGAGGGUGAUCGGCCACACUGGGACUGAGACACGGCCCAGACUCCUACGGGAGGCAGCAGUAGGGAAUCUUCCGCAAUGGACGAAAGUCUGACGGAGCAACGCCGCGUGAGUGAUGAAGGCUUUCGGGUCGUAAAACUCUGUUGUUAGGGAAGAACAAGUACGAGAGUAACUGCUCGUACCUUGACGGUACCUAACCAGAAAGCCACGGCUAACUACGUGCCAGCAGCCGCGGUAAUAC